RNAcentral lists this long non-coding RNA (201 nucleotides) under Musa acuminata (dwarf banana). RNAcentral describes it as "long non-coding RNA (MACU_LNC000639)". Lineage: Eukaryota; Viridiplantae; Streptophyta; Magnoliopsida; Zingiberales; Musaceae. The record is from RNAcentral.
GUGAUUCUUAGAGCUCAAAAUUGUUGUAAAGGCCAAAAGUUCUUCUCCCUCUUUUCUUCCAAGUUCUGAGUUGUAAAGAGAGGAGAGAAAAUUCUGUAAGGGUUGUCUCCUAAGCCUGUCAAAAGGAGUGAAACUGUAAAAGGGUGGUUGGCCUUCGCCUAUUGAAGGAAGGCCUCUAGUUGACGUCGGUGACCUCGUCGG